This 1080-nucleotide ribosomal RNA is filed under the name uncultured organism. RNAcentral describes it as "bacterial SSU rRNA". It matches the Rfam family "Bacterial small subunit ribosomal RNA", at positions 29 to 1115 of the family's 1533-position model. The record is from RNAcentral.
AUGAACGCUAGCGGCAGGCCUAACACAUGCAUGUCGAGGGGUAAUUUCGAUCUUCGGAUCGGAAACGACCGGCAAAUGGGUGAGUAAUACAUAUGCAACCUGCCCGUAGCUGGAGAAUAGCUUCCGGAAACGGAAAUUAAUACUCCAUAAUAUUCUAGUAUCGCAUGUUAUUAGAAUUAAAGCUUCGGUGGCUACGGAUGGGCAUAUGUCCCAUUAGCUUGUUGGUGAGGUAACUGCUCACCAAGGCUACGAUGGGUAGGGGGUCUGAGAGGAUGAUCCCCCACACUGGUACUGAGACACGGACCAGACUCCUACGGGAGGCAGCAGUGAGGAAUAUUGGUCAAUGGGCGAAAGCCUGAACCAGCCAUGCCGCGUGCAGGAUGACAGUCCUACGGAUUGUAAACUGCUUUUCUGCAAGAAGAAAUGUUCCGACGUGUCGGGAUUUGACGGUAUUGCAGGAAUAAGCAUCGGCUAACUCCGUGCCAGCAGCCGCGGUAAUACGGAGGAUGCAAGCGUUAUCCGGAUUCAUUGGGUUUAAAGGGUGCGUAGGCGGAUUAGAUAGUCAAAGGUGAAAGCCUGCAGCUUAACUGUAGAAGUGCCUUUGAUACUGCUAAUCUUGAGUACAGUUGAGGCGAGUGGAAUGUGUAGUGUAGCGGUGAAAUGCCUAGAUACUACACAGAACACCAAUUGCGAAGGCAGCUCGCUAAGCUGUUACUGACGCUCAGGCACGAAAGCGUGGGGAGCGAACAGGAUUAGAUACCCUGGUAGUCCACGCUGUAAACUAUGAUCACUAGCUGUUGGCGAUAAAUUGUCAGUGGCUCAGCGAAAGCGUUAAGUGAUCCACCUGGGGGAGUACGAUCGCAAGGUUGAAACUCAAAGGAAUUGACAGGGGCCCGCACAAGCGGUGGAACAUGUGGUUUAAUUCGAUGAUACGCGAGGAACCUUACCUGGGCUUAAUUAGCGACUCUCGAGAAUCGGGAUUCCCUUCGGGGCGAACUACAAGGUGCUGCAUGGUUGUCGUCAGCUCGUGCCGUGAGGUAUCGGGUUAAGUCCCAUAACGAGCGCACCCUUAUUGGUAGU